Molecule: long non-coding RNA, 7780 nt
Filed under: Triticum aestivum (bread wheat)
Lineage: Eukaryota; Viridiplantae; Streptophyta; Magnoliopsida; Poales; Poaceae
Description: long non-coding RNA (TAES_LNC003119)
Source: RNAcentral
AAACCCAAAUAUCACAUCCACUAGAGUAGCAUACAUGAGUUUCACAAGAUUACAAGAUCAAUCCAAGGAUAAUAGCACUAGGUAAGUUCUUCCCACUAGGUGAGGUCUUGAUGUUGAUCUUCUCCAAGAGGAGGCCUUGACAAUCCAAAGGAUUCUUCCCUAGGUGGGGGCUUGAUCUCCAAAGAGGAGGGGAUACAAGGAGCAAAGCUAACAAUGUAUAAUCUAAUACUUUGCUAACCCUACAAAUGACCUACGAGGUGUCCUUAUAUAGUCUAGGGGCGAAACAAGAUAAGAAAAGAGGGGUACAAAGGCCAAAAGGCCAAAACGUGUGGCUGGGCGAAGGGGUCCGGGCACCCGAGCAACUUGGGCCGGGCACCUGGACUGCUUAGGGGUCGGCUGGCGGGUGGCCGGGCACCCGGGGGCCCAAUUCCCGGGCACGCGGGGUGGCGCUGGAGCUGUCCAGGUGGGGUGGCCGGGCACCCAGGGUAGCGCCCAGCGGCUGGGGCAGCGCGGGCCGGGCACCCGGCCAGCCAUGGCCCGGGCACCCAGGGGCACGACUGUAGGUGGGCAGGAGCCCGGGAACCCGGGGGCUGCAGGUGCCGGGCACCCGGGGCGUCCAGGGGGUUUUGCACCUUCUCUUCCUUCUUCACUCUUCUUGCUCUCUCCUUCCUUCUCUUGCUUCAAGGAGGCUCGCAGCUCCGUCUUCUCCUUCUCACAGUCAACUUCCUCGUACCUAAGAGUGAGCGAUGUUUACAUUUGAGGUAGCAUCCAAUCCUCACACGAAUCCGAACGAGACUUUAAUAGGAAAGAGUUCACCCCAUUCUCGAUGGUGCGUGCACGUGCUCUUGUCAUAGGUCCACUUGGUGCUUGCGGUGAUGAUGGAGUGUCGGUGCGAGUAUUCGAUGGAUGCUCUGCAUCAUCUUCCCCCCCUUGGGAGAGAUCCGUCCACGGAUUUUGCUCUUCAUCACCAUGGUACUUGGCCAAGUCUUAGACGUUGAAGAUGUUGCUAACGUUGUACUUGUCGCAUGGGAUGUCGACCUUGUAGGCGUUGUCAUUGUAGCGUGCGAUCACCUUGAAUGGUCCGUCGGCUCAAGGGUGUAGCUUGGACUUGUGUUCCUUGGGGAAGCGGUCUGUGCGGAGAUGUAUCCAUACUUUAUCGCCGGUUGGAACACCAUCGGAGACUUGUUGAUGUUGAGCUUGGCGGUGAGGCAUUGCACUUGGCGCUCGAUCGUGGAACGUGUUUCUUCAUGCAUCUUCUUGAGGUAGGCGACUCUUGCACUUGCGUUAAUGUUUGCUCGUUCUUGAAGUGGUAGAGGAAGGAUGUCCGAUGGCGACAAAGGGUUGAAACCAUAGACAACCUCGAAGGGGGACUUGCGGGUUGUAGAGUGUCUUGCGUGGUUGUAGGCGUACUUGGCGAUGGGUAGGCACUCCUCCCACUCCUUGAUGUUCUUCUUGAUCAACACACAUAGGAGAGUUGCAAGCGUCCGGUUGGUGACUUCCGUUUUGUCAUCGGUUUGAGGAUGAUAUGCCAUGGAGAAUAGUAGCUUGAUCCCGAGCUUGGCGCAUAGUGUCUUCCAAAAGUAGCUUAAGAACUUGACGUCUCGAUCCGACACAAUUGUCUUUGUACGCCGUGCAACCUCAAGAUUUCCCUACAAAAGAGAUUGGCAACAUGUGAAGCGUCAUCUAUCUUAUUGCAUGGGAUAAAAUGAGCCAUUUUAGAGAAACGGUCCACAACAACAAAAACGGAAUCCUUGCCAUUUUGAGUCCUAGGUAAUCCAAGCAAAAAAUCCAUGCUAAUGUCUUCCCAAGAUUGAUGUGGAAUAGGUAAAGGAAUAUGUAAACCAUGGGAUUGAGAGUGUGACUUAGCUUUGCAACAUGUACAACACCGGUUGGUGAAGCGGGCGACAUCACGAAACAUCUUGGGCCAAUAAUAGUUCUUGGAGAGCAUGGUGAAAGUCUUGUUGCGUCCAAACUGUCCCAUGAGUCCGCCUCCAUGAGCCUCUUGCAAAAGGAGCAAACGAAGAGAACACUCGGGAAUGCAUAGUUUGUUAGCUUUCAUAAGAUAACCAUCUUUGAUAUAAUAUCUUUCCCAAGAAGUAUGCGUGACACACUUAGCAUAUGGAGUAGCAAAAGUUACAUCACCCUCAUACAAAUCUUUGAUAUGAUCAAAUCCAACUACAUUCAAUUCAAGUUGAGUAAGUAACAUGCAUUUGCGGGAAAGGGCAUCCGCCACCACGUUUUCUUUGCCCUUAAUGUACUUUAUCACAUAGGGAAAAGAUUCAAUGAAUUCACUCCAUUUAGCAUGCCGUUUAUUCAACUUGGUUUGACCUUUGAGGUAUUUAAGUGUUUCAUGAUCGGUAUGUAUGACAAACUCAUGCGGUCUACCUUAAUGCUCCCACACAUGUAACACACGCACUAAAGCAAACAAUUCUUUGUCAUAGAUGGGAUAGUUAAGUUGAGCACCGGAAAGUUUUUCACUAAAAUAUGCAAUAGCUCGUUUUUCUUGCAUCAAAACUCCACCAAGUCCGGUACCACUUGCAUCGCAAUGAACCUCAAAAGUUUUGUCAAAGUUUGGUAAAGCAAGAAUCGGAGCAUGGGUAAGCAAAGACUUGAGCUCGUCAAAAGUGGUUGAUUGCAAAGGUCCCCAAACAAAAGGAGCGUUCUUCUUACUCAAAGCAUGCAAAGGAGCGGCAAUAGUGCUAAAAUCUUUCACAAAGCGACGAUAAAAACCCGCAAGGCCAAGAAAACUUCGCACUUGUUGCAAAUUGGUGGGUUGGGGCCAAGUUUUAAUUGCUUCAAUUUUAGAUUCAUCAACAUGUACACCCUUGGAAGAAACAAUGAAUCCCAAGAAAACAAGCUUGUCAACACCAAACGUGCACUUUUUCAUGUUGGCAUAAAGACGUUCCUUGCGAAGAGUUUGUAAAACAGCCCUAAGAUGACUUAGAUGCUCUUUCAUUGAUUUGCUAAAGACAAGAAUAUCAUCAAAGUAAACCACAAGGAAAACUACAUUGUAAGGUCGAAGCACAAAAUGCAUAAGACGCAUGAAAGUAUCGGCAGCUUUCGAUAAACCCAUAGGCAUAACCAACCACUCGUACAAGCCAAAUUUAGUUUUGAAAGCGGUUUUCCAUUCAUCACCUUCUUGUAUGCGGAUUUGAUAAUAACAACUUUUAAGAUCAAUUUUUGAGAAAAUGGUAGCACCGCUAAUUUCAUCAAGCAUAUCAUCUAAGCGAGGAAUGGGAUGCCUAUAAAAAACGGUAAUAGCAUUGAUAGGUCUACAAUCCGAGCACAUGCGAAAUCUACUGUCUUGCUUGGGCACAAGUAUAACGGGAACGGCACAAGGGCUUAAGCUUUCACGUACAUGACCUUUGUCGAUGAGUUGUUGUACUUGCCGUUGGAUCUCCUUUGUUUCUUCGGGGUUGACGCGGUAGGGAGCCUUGUUUGGAAGAGGUGCGCCCGGGAUGAGGUCGAUUCGAUGCUCAAUGCCUCGAAGAGGAGGUAGACCCGGAGGCAGCUCAUCGGGGAAAACAUCUUGAAAUUCCUGCAAAACAUAUUGAAAUACCAAAGGUAUCUUGUGAGAGGUGUUAGUUUUUGGUUCUCCAUCCUUGCACACAAGGACAAAGUGCAUCACACUCGAUGGGUUCUCACACACUUCUCUCAUCUCACUUUUUGAGGCAAAUAGUAUGAGGUUUUUCUCUCUAGGCGAAGAGGCGCUCAAGUUUGGCUUGUGGCUCUCACUCACGUUUGGGUGGAUCACUUUCUCACUCUUCUCUCCAUGAUGGGUAACUUGCUUGUCGGCUAUCACUUGACUAGGAGACAUAGGUCGUAGCACAUAUUCCUUCACUUUCAUCUUGAAGCUAUAGUAAUUGGUACACCCAUUGUGGAUGACACCACGGUCGAAUUGCCAUGGUGGACCAAGAAGGAGGUGGCAAACGGUCAUUGGGACCACAUCAAACUCCAAAGUGUCCUCAUAUGCACCAAUUUUGAAGGAGACUUGGACCGUAUGCUCAACUCGGAUAGUGUCGGAGUCACUUAGCCAUUGAACCUUGUAAGGGUGCGAAUGCUUCCUCUUGACCAAUUGAAGCUUGGAGCAUAGUUCUUCACUUGCCAAAUUGUGGCAACUACCUCCAUCGAUGAUGACCUUGACAGAGCGCCCAUUGAUGCCGGCCUUGGUGUGGAAGAUGUGGUACUGUUGGUCUUCGUCUUGGUGGUGUUGGAGCGUCAAGACCUUGGAGACCACAAGAGAGGGACUUGAAUCGUUGUCACAAAAGACUUGAUCAUAUUCAUCUUCAUUCACGCGCCGGUGCAUGGCCACGUGAUCAAUGGCUUCCAUUUCUUUUUCACUCAUUGAGUCAUAUGUGUCGUCAUCGUUGAAGAUCAUUGUUCGCUUGUUGGUGCAUUGGAAGGACUUGUGUCCUCGGCCGCCACAUGUGAAGCAUUUGAAUGAACUUGUCUUGACGGGAUCAUCGGGAGGCGCCAAAGAUGAAGGAGGCUUGGAUUUGUAGGUGCUUGCCGGAGGACUAGUCGAGGAAGGUGCCACUUGCUUGGAACUUGACUAGUCGCGGGUACUUGGUGAUGCUCGAGUUGAUAUAGGAGGUGCCGAAGUCGCGGGAGCUUGAGGGUAGGAGCCGUAGGACUUGGACGAGUACUUGGCGUAUUUGAAGUCAUCUUGUACUUGUCGCUUGGCCUUGGUCGCUUGAUGAACUAGCUCAAGAAGGUUGGAGUAUGGUUGGAAGUUGGCGAUCCGCUUGAUUGGGUGGUUGAGGCCAUUCAAGAAGCGUGCCAUUGUUUGCUCCCCAUCUUCCUUGACAUUGGCUCGUAGCAUGGCAAUCUCCAUUUCUUGGUAGUAUUCUUCCACCGUCUUUGUGCCUUACUUGAGGAGUUGCAACUUCUUGAAAAGAUCUCGAGUGUAGUGAGUAGGCACAAAGCGGGCUCUCAUGACUUCCUUCAUUUCUUCCCAUGUUGUGAUUGGUGGUUCGCCUCUUGUAUAUCGUUGCUCGAUCACUUUUUCCCACCAAAUGAGGACGUAGUCUUGGAACUCGAGGGAGGCCAUGGCGAUCUUCUUUUCUUCAUCGUAGUUGUGGAGGCGAAAAGUCUUGUCCACCUUCAACUCCAAAGAGAGGUAUUCUUCGGGAUCAUUGCUUCCGGAGAACUUUGGCAUGGUGAACUUGAGCUUGUCGUAGCGGAGUUCUUCAUCUUUAUAGCGGUUUUGAUAUCGCUAUAGCCUUGGAAAGUCCUCAAAUGCUAGUUCUUCGUGAUGUCGCUCAUGGCGUGGAGGAGUGUCUUGAAGCACUUGUUCCACUUGGUGUCGCUCUUAUCUUGGAGGAGGGCGAGGAAUGUGCGCUUGAAUGCGCCUUUCUUGUUGCUCUUCGCGUCGGGCUGCUUCUUCUUGUAUCUCGCGACGAAGAGCUUCCUCUUAUUCUCGCACUUGGUGGUUGCGGACAUCAACGGCUCUAGUGGCCUCGCAUAGAGCUUGUUGUGCUUCAAGUGCUUGAGCUUCACGUUCGAGGGCUUGUUCUUCAUGGCGCUCUUGUGCUUGUCGAAGUGCAUCACCGUCUUGAUGCACUUGACGUGGUACUUGUGGAGGUAUUUGAUCUUGCUCCAUUGCUCCUUGAGGUACUUGGUGUCGCAUCUGUUCACGUGCUCGAACUCGGUCUUGUAAGCCAUUGCGAUGGAAUGGAUUUUAUUGAGCUUGGUGAUCUUGAGGAUGACCACGUCGAGGAAGGCGAGCUCGUGGCGGACUUGCAUCAUAAGAGGAGUAGUCCGAAGAUUGCCGACUUGUACGGUGACUUGCGUGGCGCCAUCUUGAAGAAGCGGAUGAGGAAGACGGGUGUCGCAAGAUCAUGUUGCGGAGCUCUUCCAUUUAUGUGUUGAAUUUGUCGUCGAUGUUUUGACAAAGGUCGGAGGCGAGUUGCUCCAAGCGUUUUCCCAAUGCGACGUUUUCUUGAUGAAGCGCUCGUUGCGCGAUGAAGAAGUGGUACUUGGAGACGAAGCCGGAAUCAUCACCUUGCUCCUCGAAAAAUGGGUUCGACGACGAGUUUGGCCUAUCCAUCAUAACCAAGUGGAGUGAGUAGGAAAAUGAGAGAACAAUACCAAAGUUACCUUCUCCGAGGAUUGAGGAUGUAACAAGUGUCACUCAAUGUAAUGCCACAAUAGGAGAAUUGGAACUAGGUUCGUUUCUCACACCUACAAAUAAGAGGCUUAUGGAGUAGCUCGGUUAGGAUGGUGGCAAAUUUUUUACGCAAAUGUUAGUCAAGAUAUCGAUAAAGUUGAGAAGGUUCACAAAAAUGCAAGUAAACCAAAUAGAUCAAACCCAAAGGUAUCACUAGGUACACACGCACGGAAGAUAGAUGGGAUCCGCACAACCAAGGAGUGAGCUCAAAAUGCGCAACCACGGAAAAUGCUCUUGUUGUGCGAAUGCUCGAGAGACACUAGCUCGAUUGCUCAAAUGGGCAAGAUACGCUUGUGCACCUACCUAUGAGAGAAAUGUGUUGUCUUCAAUCCCAACUAUGGUCUCUAUGCGAUGACCGAGAUGAUAUAACUAUGCAAAUGGCUCAACUCUAUUUCUUACAAGCUCAUUGUUGCUCCUAUUUUGAUUAAAAGCUUUUCUUUUUUUUCUAUGCUUGAUGCUCGAGCCGAGUAUGAUAUGAGACAAGUAUGUAUGAUAUGCAUGGGAGAGACUUAUGGCAGAAGGAUGAUAACACAAUCACUAUGGUGCACAAUAGCGUGGCCCGGCAAUUCUCAACUUGCUAGUCUCAAUGGGUAAGUAACGCAAAGUGGCUCGGGCUAUCAAUGCAAAAAGCAAGUUAAGAAGUAAGUGUCGUCGAGGUUACCAUCCUUUCUCAUGGUUAGUGGUGAAGAUGUCUCCAAGUCGAUGAUGGUGAUGACGAUGUCACAUGCUCCUAAGUACCUGAAACACCUCAGGAAACGGAAAUGGCAACACAAAAUCGGUCAAGUGUGGAAGGUUGGUGUUUUUGUGAUGUUUUUUUGGAUGGGGCUAAUGGUGGUGGUAGUGGCAUGAGUGGAUGGCGGAUGUCAAGAGCUUCUAAACAAGCUAAAGAACACGAAAAACGGACUUGGGAGGUGGAAGUUAUGGCCAAAAUAGUGUUGGUAGUGGACUGAUUUUGGGGGGUGCGGGCACCCAGGGGUGUGAGGUGCGGGUGCCCGAGGGUGGCUGGGAGAAAUGGCCCGGGGGUUCGAGGUGCGGGCACCCGGUGGUGACCGAUUUGGGCGGAAAUCUUUGGGGAAAGGCCAAAGUCGGUGGAUUUCGUGGUGGGAAGGGUGGGGAUAGCUGGGGAGGGGCUAGAUCCACUUGCCAAACAUCAAAUCCAUGGACCAAAACAACCAAAUCUCACAAGAUCCAAACAGUUUUUGGGGCUAUUUUUGUGGGGAUUUUCGGAUUUGGACGAAAAACAACAAAAUCAAGCUAGCAAAUGGGGGGAUGGGACUCCGAGAUGUGAAUAAACCAUGCUCAUGAUACCAAGAUGUUGUAGGGUCAAACCCUAUGUGGGAUCUUUUCACACUUGGUGGGUGAAAAGGAGGAAAAACUCAAGAACACCAAGAACAAAACUCUCAAACAAACCCAAAUAUCACAUCCACUAGAGUAGCAUACAUGAGAUCCACAAGAUUACAAGAUCAAUCCAAGGAUAAUAGCACUAGGUAAGUUCUUCCCACUAGGUGAGGUCUUGGUGUUGAUCUUCUCCAAGAGGAGGCCUUGACAAUCCAAAGGAUUCUUCCCUAGGUGGGGGCUUGAUCUCCAAAGAGGAGGGGAUACAAGGAGCAA